This 1790-nucleotide long non-coding RNA is filed under the name Elaeis guineensis (African oil palm). RNAcentral's name for it is "long non-coding RNA (EGUI_LNC017665)". The record is from RNAcentral. Lineage: Eukaryota; Viridiplantae; Streptophyta; Magnoliopsida; Arecales; Arecaceae.
CUUCUCCCUGGCCCCUCCUCCCUAUGGCGCUGGCCCACCCUACUGAUCCCCCACGCUGCGAUCCCUUCUACCGUCCGCCAAGUCGACAGCUUUCCCAAAGUCUCCGAACUCCCUCGGCCAUCUCCGACGAGACCCGUCCUGGAGCCUAGCUGCGUCCCUGGCUUCAGUGAUCAUACCUCCAUUGUCUACAAUUUCUUGGUAAGCCUUCUCGUCCUCCUCCUCUUAUUUUUCUCUUUCCUUCCGGGAACCCCUAAAAAUGGCUUCUUUCGCUCAUCCGUGUGAUUUAGAGGGCAAUAAUCGUACUAUAUAGGAGGGAGCUGUAUGUACCUGAUCAUUUUUGUUUGUUGGAUGGCGCUGGGUUUCCUCUAUUUGGGGUUUUGAGAAGAGAAGGGGCGGAUUUGAGUUUGGACUUGAGUUUGAUCGCUGCCUUUUGUCCGGUCUGGUUCUACUGUUGCCGGAACCCUAUCAAGAUACUGCCUUUUUGAACAGAUUUACCUGGUUUCCUGUUUAUAAUUUGCCAUUUAUACGAGGAAAACUGCAGCGAAAAAUGGAUUUUAAAGUGUUUUUCCGUCGUUUUCUUAUUUGUAGAUUGCAUUUAAAUGUAAAAAUGGUGUAAAAGAGAGAUCUUUUUUGCCGUUUAGGUGGGUUUCGCGUUGCUUUUUCUUUCUUCAGCUGGUGACUAAGCUCAUCAUGGAGCCCCAGUCUACGUUCUGAUGGUUCUUUUCGGUUGCUUUUGAUGCGAGCAUUGUAAAGGCGGUCACCCAUUUGGGAUUUUUCGGUCUUUUGUUUAACCGAUUUCAAAAUUCAGAUCUUUUCUAGAUUCCAAACGGAUUUUUAGCAUCGACUCUUCUCUUAAUUGGAGCUAGCUUUCAGAGUAACUUGCAUACAACUAUACAAGUUGAUCUGAUUUUAAGGUUGUGGACAUAUAAACACCAAACAGACGAGAUGGCACUGUUUUGGCUUCUUUGUUUACCAGAUGACCUCAUUUUAAGCUCUAAAUUUGAGUCUUUCCCAUUCACCGCACGGCUCAUCAAAAGAAAUUUACUGACUGCUUUUCCCGUAGCCAUCUCUCUGAAUUGAUCAUAUGUUAGUACCUUCAUAGAAGCUAGAGAAAGAUAUUUCUUUAACUGUCAUACGGUACUCGGCAUACCUUUCCUAUGGUCUUUGUUUUUCUUUUUCUUUUUCUUUUUUUUUUCCAAUAAUCAAUUGAUGCUAUUACUUUUGUCAUUCAGAGCGUGGUUCUGUUUAACUUCAUACCGAGCUUUCCCUUUGGCCAUGGGCACUGCCAUUUCUUCCAUGCAGUCCACUCUAUCCUCCCUUUUUUCUUCCUUUCUUCCUGUAUUGCACAAGUAUCAAUUGAUCAGCUUCGUUUUGCCUGCAAAGGAGAGGCCCUAAGUGAUAUGUUUCUGUGCCCACCUUGGAUAUUUGUUUUUCUGAUGAGUCUUUAGAUUCUUACCCACUUCUCAUGUGUCUUGCAUGAUGUACAUGAUGGUAAGUACUUGUUCAUUAUAAUUUGUUUGUAUCUAAUUUUCUUUUCAUGCAGAUGCUGGAUGGUUUGUUAUUUUCUUUGGAAGACACUAAAAAUUAAUAUCAUCAUGUUUUUUUUGCUAACAAAAAUCAUUGCACGAUGCCUGUUAUUUGUGGAAGGUAUAUUUCUGACAAACUUUUUAUGUGGGAUUAUUGCCCUUUUCAGUGGCUAUAUCUUCCUUAUAUCAACAUUAUUAACAAAGAGGUCCUUUUCAAUUCUUCUUAAUCAUCGAAACUAUUUUUAGAGAAAUGAAAAAUUGAUG